UAGGGAAUCUUCCGCAAUGGACGCAAGUCUGACGGAGCAACGCCGCGUGAGUGAAGAAGGAUUUCGGUUCGUAAAACUCUGUUGUUAGAGAAGAACAGCGCAUAGAGUAACUGUUAUGCGUGUGACGGUAUCUAACCAGAAAGCCACGGCUAACUACGUGCCAGCAGCCGCGGUAAUACGUAGGUGGCAAGCGUUGUCCGGAUUUAUUGGGCGUAAAGCGAGCGCAGGCGGUCAAUUAAGUCUGAUGUGAAAGCCCCCGGCUCAACCGGGGAGGGUCAUUGGAAACUGGUUGACUUGAGUGCAGAAGAGGAGAGUGGAAUUCCAUGUGUAGCGGUGAAGUGCGUAGAUAUGUGGAGGAACACCAGUGGCGAAGGCGACUCUCUGGUCUGUAUCUGACGCUGAGGCUCGAAAGCGUGGGGAGCGAACAGG
This 429-nucleotide ribosomal RNA is filed under the name Bacteroidota bacterium. RNAcentral's name for it is "Bacteroidetes bacterium partial 16S ribosomal RNA". It matches the Rfam family "Bacterial small subunit ribosomal RNA", at positions 355 to 776 of the family's 1533-position model. The record is from RNAcentral. Lineage: Bacteria; Pseudomonadati; Bacteroidota.